UCUUAAACUUAUGUAUAUGUAGGUUCUG
This 28-nucleotide small RNA is filed under the name Bombyx mori (domestic silkworm). Its description in RNAcentral is "ovarian small RNA-30068". The record is from RNAcentral. Lineage: Eukaryota; Metazoa; Arthropoda; Insecta; Lepidoptera; Bombycidae.